UAGGGAAUAUUGCGCAAUGGGGGAAACCCUGACGCAGCAACGCCGCGUGGAGGAUGACACUUUUCGGAGCGUAAACUCCUUUUGUUAGGGAAGAAUAAUGACGGUACCUAACGAAUAAGCACCGGCUAACUCCGUGCCAGCAGCCGCGGUAAUACGGAGGGUGCAAGCGUUACUCGGAAUCACUGGGCGUAAAGGACGCGUAGGCGGAUUAUCAAGUCUCUUGUGAAAUCUAACGGCUUAACCGUUAAACUGCUUGGGAAACUGAUAAUCUAGAGUAAGGGAGAGGCAGAUGGAAUUCUUGGUGUAGGGGUAAAAUCCGUAGAUAUCAAGAAGAAUACCUAUUGCGAAGGCGAUCUGCUGGAACUUAACUGACGCUAAUGCGUGAAAGCGUGGGGAGCAAACA
This 403-nucleotide ribosomal RNA is filed under the name uncultured bacterium. RNAcentral's name for it is "bacterial SSU rRNA". It matches the Rfam family "Bacterial small subunit ribosomal RNA", at positions 355 to 774 of the family's 1533-position model. The record is from RNAcentral. RNAcentral also lists the same sequence under 1 other name.